GACACAUCUGCCUCUCCAGGACCUCAGAUUCCUGACAACACUGUUGGCUUCCUGAAGACUCCUUCAUCCUGCAGAAGAUGCAACUCCACGGGGUCCUGAGAGAUUGGACAUGGACAUCUGGCUGUGGGCUGUGAGACAUAAACCUCCGUGUCGAGCUCAUACAAAAUCAGCCACACAAACACUGACCUCCAGGGCUGUUUUAACCAUUCAUGAGUCCCUUAGUUGGCCGGGCAUCAAAAUCAGUGUGGAUAAGAACUAAAUCUUGUUGGAGGAUUGCUUUGGAGGUUCUCAUUCAUACCCAGUCUUGGAAAAACCAUCACCUUGUCCUGAAUCUAUACUGCACUUAACCUAUUUGUUUGUUGCGUUCUUUAAGUGAAGGAAAAAUCACUUUCACAGAUAAAAAGCAGGUCUGCACAGUCCCUCUGGUAGAGCCAAAGUGGUGGCAUCAACAUAAAAGAUU
Long non-coding RNA from Symphalangus syndactylus (siamang), 460 nucleotides. RefSeq lists it as uncharacterized. The record is from RefSeq and is a predicted model, not a curated record. Lineage: Eukaryota; Metazoa; Chordata; Mammalia; Primates; Hylobatidae.